RNAcentral lists this ribosomal RNA (550 nucleotides) under uncultured bacterium. Its description in RNAcentral is "bacterial SSU rRNA". It matches the Rfam family "Bacterial small subunit ribosomal RNA", at positions 775 to 1319 of the family's 1533-position model. The record is from RNAcentral.
AGUCAAUAGAUACCCGGGUAGUCCUAGCCCUAAACGAUGCUCAUUAGAUGUGGGAGGUAUCGACCCCUUCCGCGUCGCAGCUAACGCAUUAAAUGAGCCGCCUGGGGAGUACGGCCGCAAGGUUGAAACUCAAAGGAAUUGACGGGGGCCCGCACAAGCGGUGGAACAUGUGGUUUAAUUCGACGCAACGCGAAGAACCUUACCUGGGCUUGAACUACUGGUAGUAAGUCCCUAGAAAUAGGGGCUGAUCCGCAAGGAAGCCAGCAGAGGUGCUGCAUGGUUGUCGUCAGCUCGUGUCGUGAGAUGUUGGGUUAAAGUCCCGCAACGAGCGCAACCCCUAUCCAAUGUUGCUAAUCCCGUAAGGGAUGCACUCUUUGGAAACUGCCUUCGAUAAGAAGGAGGAAGGUGGGGACGACGUCAAAUCCUCAUGGCCCUUAUGUCCAGGGCUACACACGUGUUACAAUGGCCGGUACAGUGGGAAGCAAUACCGCAAGGUGGAGCCAAACCCUAAAGCCGGCCCAGUUCAGAUUGUGGGCUGCAACUCGCCCAC